UAUGUUUUUUCAUUUCCGUUG
RNAcentral lists this non-coding RNA (21 nucleotides) under Caenorhabditis elegans. The record is from RNAcentral. Lineage: Eukaryota; Metazoa; Nematoda; Chromadorea; Rhabditida; Rhabditidae.